Molecule: transfer RNA, 72 nt
Filed under: Loxodonta africana (African savanna elephant)
Lineage: Eukaryota; Metazoa; Chordata; Mammalia; Proboscidea; Elephantidae
Rfam family: tRNA
About the family: Transfer RNA (tRNA) molecules are approximately 80 nucleotides in length. Their secondary structure includes four short double-helical elements and three loops (D, anti-codon, and T loops). Further hydrogen bonds mediate the characteristic L-shaped molecular structure. tRNAs have two regions of fundamental functional importance: the anti-codon, which is responsible for specific mRNA codon recognition, and the 3' end, to which the tRNAs corresponding amino acid is attached (by aminoacyl-tRNA synthetases). tRNAs cope with the degeneracy of the genetic code in two manners: having more than one tRNA (with a specific anti-codon) for a particular amino acid; and 'wobble' base-pairing, i.e. permitting non-standard base-pairing at the 3rd anti-codon position.
Source: Rfam by way of RNAcentral
GCCCUAGUAGCACAAUAGUUAAGCGCUUGGCUGCUAAUUGAAAAGUUGGUGGUUUGAACCCACCCAGGGGCU